CUCCGAGAAACGCAAACCAGUCGAAAGGCUGGGACGCAAAGUCAGGAAUCUACGGCGAGCGCCCGCUCGUUAAGAUCGUCCGACCGCCACG
RNAcentral lists this non-coding RNA (91 nucleotides) under Saccharibacillus sacchari. RNAcentral's name for it is "c-di-GMP sequence". It matches the Rfam family "c-di-GMP-I riboswitch aptamer". Rfam says of the family: GEMM was predicted in a large-scale screen for bacterial structured RNA regulatory elements. Genes associated with GEMM are involved in a diverse array of functions, including chemotaxis regulation, signal transduction, secretion and chitin. The record is from RNAcentral. Lineage: Bacteria; Bacillati; Bacillota; Bacilli; Caryophanales; Paenibacillaceae. RNAcentral also lists the same sequence under 1 other name.